This 126-nucleotide long non-coding RNA is filed under the name Ictidomys tridecemlineatus (thirteen-lined ground squirrel). Its description in RNAcentral is "lncRNA (ENSSTOG00000029772.1)". Lineage: Eukaryota; Metazoa; Chordata; Mammalia; Rodentia; Sciuridae. The record is from RNAcentral.
AUGGCCAUUCUUCUCUUCAACCUGAUUGGCAAGCCAUUCCUGCUGGAGCACAAGAGAGACUGCUAUAGAAGCCCACCUCUCUGGGAGAGCUGCCUUUUGCUGGGAGACUGUCAGUAAAGGGUUAUC